RNAcentral lists this long non-coding RNA (518 nucleotides) under Heterocephalus glaber (naked mole-rat). Its description in RNAcentral is "lncRNA (ENSHGLG00100039793.1)". Lineage: Eukaryota; Metazoa; Chordata; Mammalia; Rodentia; Bathyergidae. The record is from RNAcentral.
CUUCCAUUGGGCGAGAUCUGCCACACGCCCUCCCGCCGACCAAUGGAAAGCGGCUGACGCACGGAGGCAGUGCCCAGAAUGGGCGCGAUGUGACGACGUCAUCAUGGAGCCAUAGGUUGCUGGGAGAGCAGCUGGUUGCCAGGACAACUGGCCCUUCCGCAGACGCGGGCUAGCCGGCUGGAGAGAAGAUCCACCCGGGGCGUGGAGUAGGUGGGCCCUCGCUGUUGGCGUCCAGCUCAUGCCGAAUUUUUAAAAUCCAGGGUACAGAAGGACUGAUGAUAAAAAACAGAAAGAGAGUAGGGACUGUUAGGUCAGCGCUUGUCACCAUUUAAAAUGUCAGCAGUGUUACACAAAAACAGUGGAGAUGUGUCUGCAAGAGCUGCGGCUCAGGUCCAGAGGAAUCCUUAUGGCUCAAGGGGCAAUCAGUUCCCAUGAGAUGACCUUCCUUACUCAGCAGGGACACUGCCUCGAUUUUCAUCAUGGGAAGAUCACAAGAAGGCGAGUAUGUGCCAACCAAG